Triticum aestivum (bread wheat) is the source of this 125-nucleotide non-coding RNA. Lineage: Eukaryota; Viridiplantae; Streptophyta; Magnoliopsida; Poales; Poaceae. The record is from Rfam.
CAAGUACUCCCUCCGUCCAGAAAUGCUUUUCGGAGGAAUACAUGUGUCUAGACGUAUUUUAAUUUUAGAUAGAUCCAUUUUUAUCCAUUUAUACGACAAGUAAUUCUGAACGGAGGAAGUAGAGA